GACGAACGCUGGCGGCGUGCUUAACACAUGCAAGUCGAACGGAAAGGCCCUGCUUUUGUGGGGUGCUCGAGUGGCGAACGGGUGAGUAACACGUGAGUAACCUGCCCUUGACUUUGGGAUAACUUCAGGAAACUGGGGCUAAUACCGGAUAGGAGCUCCUGCUGCAUUGUGGGGGUUGGAAAGUUUCGGCGGUUGGGGAUGGACUCGCGGCUUAUCAGCUUGUUGGUGGGGUAGUGGCUUACCAAGGCUUUGACGGGUAGCCGGCCUGAGAGGGUGACCGGCCACAUUGGGACUGAGAUACGGCCCAGACUCCUACGGGAGGCAGCAGUGGGGAAUAUUGCACAAUGGGCGGAAGCCUGGUGCAGCAACGCCGCGUGCGGGAUGACGGCCUUCGGGUUGUAAACCGCUUUCGCCUGUGACGAAGCGUGAGUGACGGUAAUGGGUAAAGAAGCACCGGCUAACUACGUG
RNAcentral lists this ribosomal RNA (468 nucleotides) under uncultured bacterium. RNAcentral's name for it is "partial 16S ribosomal RNA". It matches the Rfam family "Bacterial small subunit ribosomal RNA", at positions 28 to 507 of the family's 1533-position model. The record is from RNAcentral.